RNAcentral lists this ribosomal RNA (468 nucleotides) under uncultured bacterium. RNAcentral describes it as "partial 16S ribosomal RNA". It matches the Rfam family "Bacterial small subunit ribosomal RNA", at positions 28 to 507 of the family's 1533-position model. The record is from RNAcentral.
GACGAACGCUGGCGGCGUGCUUAACACAUGCAAGUCGAACGGAAAGGCCCUGCUUUUGUGGGGUGCUCGAGUGGCGAACGGGUGAGUAACACGUGAGUAACCUGCCCUUGACUUUGGGAUAACUUCAGGAAACUGGGGCUAAUACCGGAUAGGAGCUCCUGCUGCAUGGUGGGGGUUGGAAAGUUUCGGCGGUUGGGGAUGGACUCGCGGCUUAUCCGCUUGUUGGUGGGGUAGUGGCUUACCAAGGCUUUGACGGGUAGCCGGCCUGGGAGGGUGACCGGCCACAUUGGGACUGAGAUACGGCCCAGUCUCCUACGGGAGGCAGCAGUGGGGAAUAUUGCACAAUGGGCGGAAGCCUGAUGCAGCAACGCCGCGUGCGGGAUGACGGCCUUCGGGUUGUAAACCGCUUUCGCCUGUGACGAAGCGUGAGUGACGGUAAUGGGUAAAGAAGCACCGGCUAACUACGUG